CGGGGCGGGUGCUAUAAUGCAAGUAGAACGCUGAGGAUGGUGCUUGCACUAAUCCAAAGAGUUGCGAACGGGUGAGUAACGCGUGGGUAACCUACCUCAUAGCGGGGGAUAACUAUUGAAAACGAUAUCUAAUACCGCAUGACACUAGAGUACACGUGUACUCAUUUUAAAGGGAGCAAGUGCCACUCUAUGAGAUGGACCUGCGUUGUAUUAUCUAUGUGGAGGGGUAAGGGCUCACCAGGGACACUAUACAUACCACACCUGAGGGGGAGAUCGCCCACUGUGAGACUGACACACGCCCCACACUCCUACGGGGGGCAGCAAUGGGGAAUCUUCGGCAGUGGACAGAACUCAGACCGAGCAACCCCGCGAGAGUGAAAAGGGUUUUCAGAUCGUAAAUCUCUGUUGUUAGAAAAAAACGGUAGUGGGAGUGGAAAAUCCUUUACGUGACGGUAACUAACCAAAAGGGGACGGCUAUCUACGUGCCAACACCCGCGGAAAUACAUAUGUCUCGAGCGUUGUCCAGAUUUAUUGGGCGUAAAGCGAGCGCGCGCGGUUCUAUAACUCUGAAGUAAAGGGCAGUGUCUCCCCCAUUGUAUGCUUUGGAAACUGUAAAACUUGAGUGCAGAGGGAGAGAGUGGAAUUCCGUGUGUAGCGGUGAUGUGCAUAUAUAUAUGGAAGAACACCUGUGGAGAAAGCGUCUCUCUGGUCUGUAACUGACUCUGACGCUCGAAAGCGUGGAGAGCACACGAGAUUAUAUACUCUGAUAGUCCACGCCGUACACUAUGAGUGCUAUGUGUUACGCCCUUUCCGGCGCAUAGUGCCGCAUCUAACGCAUUAAACACUCCGUCUGGAGAGUACCACCGCAGUGUUGACACUCAAAAGUAUUUGACGGGGCGCCCGCACAAGCUGGUAGCAGCAUGUGUUUUAUUUCGAAGCAACGCGAAGCACUCAUUACCGUGUCGUGAUCAUCCUCUCUGACUCGCUCCUAGAUGAUGAGGAUUUCUCUCUUCGGAGACAGAGACACGAGGUGGCUGCGUGGUUCGUCGUCAUCUCGUGUCGUGAGAUUGUGGGAUAACUCCCGACACGAGCGACACCCCCUAGUGAUUAGUUCGCCCAUUCAUUAGUGGGACACUCUAGCGAGACUCGCCGGAUAAUAAACCGGGAAGAAGGGUGGGAGAUGACCUUCAAUCAUACGCCCUUGAGACGUGGCGUCACCGGUUCUACAUGUGUGGUCCAAGAGUUCCGAAGCCGUGUGUCAACGGACAGACCAUAACUA
This 1279-nucleotide ribosomal RNA is filed under the name Streptococcus iniae. RNAcentral's name for it is "bacterial SSU rRNA". It matches the Rfam family "Bacterial small subunit ribosomal RNA", at positions 40 to 1284 of the family's 1533-position model. Lineage: Bacteria; Bacillati; Bacillota; Bacilli; Lactobacillales; Streptococcaceae. The record is from RNAcentral.